Molecule: long non-coding RNA, 3874 nt
Filed under: Arachis ipaensis
Lineage: Eukaryota; Viridiplantae; Streptophyta; Magnoliopsida; Fabales; Fabaceae
Description: long non-coding RNA (AIPA_LNC000756)
Source: RNAcentral
UAUUUCUUAAUAAUUUAACAUAGAUGAUCUUGAAGUUGAGAAAUCCUAAAAUUUUCAGAUAAAAUAAAAUUUUUAUUUAAUCAAAUGAUGAUAAAUAAUUUUAUUAAAUUAAAUUAUAUUAAUGUGAUCAUUGGAUGAUAAAGAAUGCUAAAAAAAUAAAUAAAUAAUAUUUUAAGAGUAUAAAAAUAUUAAAUUAUCAUUUCAAUUUACUUUUUUUAAUCAACGACAAUANNNNNNNNNNNNNNNNNNNNNNNNNNNNNNNNNNNNNNNNNNNNNNNNNNNNNNNNNNNNNNNNNNNNNNNNNNNNNNNNNNNNNNNNNNNNNNNNNNNNNNNNNNNNNNUGUCUUUUCAUCAUGCCUCCGCAUCACCUUAUAAAUGUACAUACCUCCGCAUCACCACAUAACUAAGCAUACCUCCACAUCACCAUAUUACUAAGCAUACCUCCGCAUCACCCUUUUAACUUUAACCUUUCUAGGGGUAACUUGCAUUCUUAUUCACUUCUUAGCUUGUUUAGCCUAAUACCCUUUUGGCGACCGGUUUUCUAUCUAACGAUUAAUAUCACAAACGGACUCGGACUCGCACAAAUUUUAUGUCCACAUGUUCGUAUUAAACUCAAGUUUCUAAAGGUCUAGAAAUCAUAUUUUUCUGGGCAGUCUAUCUCCAGCUAUUGAGGAAAAACCGAGACUGUUAUUCUAGGUUUGUAGGAACAGCACCUUGCUAUCUUGUUAUGUGGUUUUUAUAUUGUGAAAGCCUACGCACGGACUAUCUCUCUUAUCAAAGUAACUCUAGAGAUCCUAACCUUUAAUUUAAAUUAUAGUUUACUACAUUUGGAUUAGAAUUGAAUUUUAUACAAGAUUUUAAAAUUCUGCUACUGCACUUGUAAAGAUUCAGAAAAACAGCAGGCAGCAGUGUUUUUAUAAAAUUCAUAAUAAUUUCAAUUCUAAUCCGUUGCUCCUAAAUUUUUGUAAGAUUAUACUCAACACCCCUAAUUUUUAUAAUCAACAAGUUUCAGGUUCAUAUCACCUUGUUUGGUUAAUUAAAUGUCAAUUGGAAAGGCUGCCCUGUUUCUUUAAAUGAGUUCUGAAGUUCCUGCGAACAGUCCAGCUUCCAAGAGGCAUAACUAACUCUACAAAAUAGCUAUGGACCUGAAAUUUUACUCAUUUAAAAUAGACUUACAGACCUCUAAAAUCCCUUUGGAAUCAACUCAAAAUGUUAAGUAAAACAAAAGUUCCAGUAGUUUGAAAUUGACACUGCAGAACUAGAAAAACCAGAAAAAUUCUGCAGCAGCUACUGUCUUCAAAAAUUUAUAUCUUUUAAACCACUUGGCCAAAUCCCUUGAAAUUUUUAUGGCACAUUCAAGACACACCUAAGUUUUACAGAAAAAUAAUUUUAUCUAAAAAGGUGGUUCGAACUAUUACCAGACAUUAUUUUAAGUCACUGCCAAAUAUGCAGAAAUUCUGCAUCAAGUAAUUCCAACAACCUCACAUACCAAAUCUUAUAUUUAAGCCUAAAACUCCCCUAAAAUCAUAAUUUCAACUUUUUUGUGACUAACCAAAGUUGCUAGAAUGAUUAGCGCAGUCCCAAAAAUCCAGAGUCAAUAUUUUCCAAGUUUUCAAGUGCUUAUACACAAGUGAACAUUCAUUUUUCUGCAUCAUGUUAAAAACAGAAUUUCCACAUGUACUUUCUAUCGGCACAAAGGCCCGUUCAACAUACAAUAUGCUAUCAAUUAGGCAGACAUUCCUGCAUUAGCAAUCUUAGGCUAUCAGUCAGGCGGGCACUUCUGCAUUAGCAGUUUGGCACAAAGGCCCAGUCAAUUUUGGCGACCGGUUUUCUAUCUAACGAUUAAUAUCACAAACGGACUCGGACUCGCACAAAUUUUAUGUCCACAUGUUCGUAUUAAACUCAAGUUUCUAAAGGUCUAGAAAUCAUAUUUUUCUGGGCAGUCUAUCUCCAGCUAUUGAGGAAAAACCGAGACUGUUAUUCUAGGUUUGUAGGAACAGCACCUUGCUAUCUUGUUAUGUGGUUUUUAUGUUGUGAAAGCCUACGCACGGACUAUCUCUCUUAUCAAAGUAACUCUAGAGAUCCUAACCUUUAAUUUGAAUUAUAGUUUACUACAUUUGGAUUAGAAUUGAAUUUUAUACAAGAUUUUAAAAUUCUGCUACUGCACUUGUAAAGAUUCAGAAAAACAGCAGGCAGCAGUGUUUUUAUAAAAUUCAUAAUAAUUUCAAUUCUAAUCCGUUGCUCCUAAAUUUUUGUAAGAUUAUACUCAACACCCCUAAUUUUUAUAAUCAACAAGUUUCAGGUUCAUAUCACCUUGUUUGGUUAAUUAAAUGUCAAUUGGAAAGGCUGCCCUGUUUCUUUAAAUGAGUUCUGAAGUUCCUGCGAACAGCCCAGCUUCCAAGAGGCAUAACUAACUCUACAAAAUAGCUAUGGACCUGAAAUUUUACUCAUUUAAAAUAGACUUACAGACCUCUAAAAUCCCUUUAAAAUCAACUCAAAAUGUUAAGUAAAACAAAAGUUCCAGUAGUUUGAAAUUGACACUGUAGAACUAGAAAAACCAGAAAAAUUCUGCAGCAGCUACUGUUUUCAAAAAUUUAUAUCUUUUAAACCACUUGGCCAAAUCCCUUGAAAUUUUUAUAGCACAUUCAAGACACACCUAAGUUUUACAGAAAAAUAAUUUUAUCCAAAAAGGUGGUUCGGACUAUUACCAGAAUUUAUUUUAAGUCACUGCCAAAUAUGCAGAAAUUCCGCAUCAAGUAAUUCCAACAACCUCACAUACCAAAUCUUAUAUUUAAGCCUAAAACUCCUCUAAAAUCAUAAUUUCAACUUUCUUGUGACUAACCAAAGUUGCUAGAGUGAUUAGCGCAGUCCCAAAAAUCCAGAGUCAAUAUUUUCCAAGUUUUCAAGUGCUUAUACACAAGUGAACAUUCAUUUUUCUGCAUCAUGUUAAAAACAGAAUUUCCACAUGUACUUUCUAUCAUUCAUUCACAUAAUAAAUCAUCAUUCAGCAUCAUCCAACUGGGUUAGUUAUAACAGAACCCAUCUCAAGCACAACAACUUAUACUACCAACUAAUUCAAUCAUAAAACAUGGCCUUUAGCCUUCAAGUAAAUUCUGCACAUAGCAACUUAAAACCCCAAAUAACAUUAUCAAACCUACAAUCCACCCACAGCACCAUCAUUCAGUCACAAACAUAUCCUUCUAAACACUCAAACCCUUACCUCUUUUGAAGUUCAAAAUUCUGUUUGUGCUUCUUCCUUGAAUUAAAAAUCCUAGCCACACAAAAUUGAAGUUUCGGUCACUCCUCCCUUCUCCCUCAACUCCGUUUCAUUCUUUUCUUUCUUCUAUUUGUGUGUGUCUGUGAUGACCCAGAUGAAGCAAGCACUCAUAUAAGUAGAAGAAAAAGUGGAGGAACUUGUCCUGUCUCUCCUUCUUUCCGUCUUGGUUCUGCUCUCUCUCUCCCUCUCUUUGCUGCCUUCUGUUUCUUACGUUGAAAAAGGGAGACCCAAUAGAAGCGGUGGGCGUAUAAAUAGGAGAAGAAGAAGUGGGGUGAGGUAGUGAAGAGAGUUACGUGGUUCUUCCUCCAGAGAACACCUAACUAAAUCCCAUUAUCAUAUGAGGAAACCAAGAGGUGUAACCUUGGUUGGGGGAAGGCUUCUCUCUGUUUCGGUCAUCACAGGAAGAAUGAAGAAGAUUAGGGCUUUAAUCAUGGUUAGAUUUCUGAUGAUGCAUAUGCUUAUGGUCUGGUUGAAUCGGAAAAAAAAAAACGGUUUAAUGUGUGUUGGUUCAUACUUCACAAAUCUUAAUGAUAUAUCUAUACUGUUCUUUUCACUUAUCAAGUCUAAGUCCACCUUAUUAUUUUAUGGUGAGGUGAU